Molecule: unclassified non-coding RNA, 360 nt
Filed under: soil metagenome
Description: partial contains 5.8S ribosomal RNA, internal transcribed spacer 2, and large subunit ribosomal RNA
Rfam family: 5.8S ribosomal RNA (bases 1-120)
Source: RNAcentral
GAUGAAGAACGUAGCGAAAUGCGAUAAGUAAUGCGAAUUGCAGAAUUCAGUGAAUCAUCGAAUCUUUGAACGCACAUUGCGCCCGCCAGUAUUCUGGCGGGCAUGCCUGUCUGAGCGUCGUUUCGACCCUCGCGCCCGGCUUCUGUCGGGGGUGGUGUUGGGGAUCGGCCACACCCUUCAGUGGGAGGCCGGCCCCUAAAUUCAGUGGCGACCACGCUGUAGCCUCCCCUGCGUAGUACUAAAACCACCUCGCAGGCGGAGAGCGGUGCGGCCCGCCGUAAAACCCCCCAACUUUUACAAGGUCGACCUCAGAUCAGGUAGGAAUACCCGCUGAACUUAAGCAUAUCAAUAAGCGGAGGA